AUUGAACGCUGGCGGCAGGCCUAACACAUGCAAGUCGAGCGGAUGAAGGGAGCUUGCUCCUGGAUUCAGCGGCGGACGGGUGAGUAAUGCCUAGGAAUCUGCCUGGUAGUGGGGGAUAACGUCCGGAAACGGGCGCUAAUACCGCAUACGUCCUGAGGGAGAAAGUGGGGGAUCUUCGGACCUCACGCUAUCAGAUGAGCCUAGGUCGGAUUAGCUAGUUGGUGGGGUAAAGGCCUACCAAGGCGACGAUCCGUAACUGGUCUGAGAGGAUGAUCAGUCACACUGGACCUGGGAAACGGUCCGAACUCCAACGGGAGGCAGCGGUGGGAAAUAUUGGACAUGGGCGGAAGGCCUGUUCCAGCCAGGCGGCGUGUGUGAAGAAGUCCUUCGGAUUGUAAAGCACUUUAAGUUGGGAGGAAGGGCAGUAAGUUAAUACCUGGCGGUUUUAACGUUACCAACAGAAUAAGCACCGCUUAACUCCGU
This 483-nucleotide ribosomal RNA is filed under the name uncultured bacterium. Its description in RNAcentral is "partial 16S ribosomal RNA". It matches the Rfam family "Bacterial small subunit ribosomal RNA", at positions 30 to 506 of the family's 1533-position model. The record is from RNAcentral.